AUACGGAGGGUGCAAGCGUUACUCGGAAUCACUGGGCGUAAAGCGCGCGCAGGCGGGCUGAUAAGUUGGAUGUGAAAGCCUACGGCUCAACCGUAGAACUGCAUCCAAAACUGUCAGUCUAGAAUCUGGGAGGGGAAGAUGGAAUUAGUUGUGUAGGGGUAAAAUCCGUAGAGAUAACUAGGAAUACCAAAAGCGAAGGCGAUCUUCUGGAACAGUACUGACGCUGAGGCGCGAAAGCGUGGGGAGCAAACAGGAUUAGAAACCCUAGUAGUCC
Molecule: ribosomal RNA, 274 nt
Filed under: uncultured bacterium
Lineage: Bacteria
Description: partial 16S ribosomal RNA
Rfam family: Bacterial small subunit ribosomal RNA
Source: RNAcentral